GCCCGGUGCUCGGUUUGUAGGCAGUGUAAUUAGCUGAUUGUACUCUCAUGCUUACAAUCACUAGUUCCACUGCCAUCAAAACAAGGCACAGC
Molecule: microRNA precursor, 92 nt
Organism: Bison bison bison
Lineage: Eukaryota; Metazoa; Chordata; Mammalia; Artiodactyla; Bovidae
Source: Ensembl